This 253-nucleotide ribosomal RNA is filed under the name uncultured bacterium. RNAcentral describes it as "partial 16S ribosomal RNA". It matches the Rfam family "Bacterial small subunit ribosomal RNA", at positions 524 to 776 of the family's 1533-position model. The record is from RNAcentral.
UACGGAGGGGGCAAGCGUUGUUCGGAAUCACUGGGCGUAAAGCGCAUGCAGGCGGCCUUUCAAGCUAGGGGUGAAAUCCCGGGGCUCAACCCCGGAACUGCCUUUAGAACUGUUAGGCUAGAGUCCGAGAGAGGAUGGCGGAAUUCCUAGUGUAGAGGUGAAAUUCGUAGAUAUUAGGAGGAACACCAGUGGCGAAGGCGGCCAUCUGGCUCGGUACUGACGCUCAGAUGCGAAAGCGUGGGGAGCAAACAGG